RNAcentral lists this non-coding RNA (133 nucleotides) under Limnohabitans sp. 63ED37-2. RNAcentral describes it as "Glycine riboswitch aptamer". It matches the Rfam family "Glycine riboswitch aptamer". Rfam says of the family: This family represents the bacterial glycine riboswitch. Glycine riboswitches usually consist of two metabolite-binding aptamers domains with similar structures in tandem. Lineage: Bacteria; Pseudomonadati; Pseudomonadota; Betaproteobacteria; Burkholderiales; Comamonadaceae. RNAcentral also lists the same sequence under 1 other name. The record is from Rfam by way of RNAcentral.
CGUUACCUCACUGGAGAGAGGUGCCGGACCAUCGCGUCACGGCAUCCACCGAAGGAGCAACCCGCAGAGUGUUUGGUUUACCCACCGAACGAUCCCGGCGAAUCUCUCAGGUAAAGCGGACAGCGAGGGCAAG